UACGUAGGGUGCAAGCGUUAAUCGGAAUUACUGGGCGUAAAGCGUGCGCAGGCGGUUUUGUAAGUCUGACGUGAAAUCCCCGGGCUCAACCUGGGAAUUGCGUUGGAGACUGUAAGGCUAGAAUCUGGCAGAGGGGGGUAGAAUUCCACGUGUAGCAGUGAAAUGCGUAGAGAUGUGGAGGAACACCGAUGGCGAAGGCAGCCCCCUGGGUCAAGAUUGACGCUCAUGCACGAAAGCGUGGGGAGCAAACAGG
Molecule: ribosomal RNA, 253 nt
Filed under: uncultured bacterium
Lineage: Bacteria
Description: partial 16S ribosomal RNA
Rfam family: Bacterial small subunit ribosomal RNA
Source: RNAcentral